RNAcentral lists this ribosomal RNA (1437 nucleotides) under uncultured compost bacterium. Its description in RNAcentral is "16S ribosomal RNA". It matches the Rfam family "Bacterial small subunit ribosomal RNA". The record is from RNAcentral.
ACGAGUGGCGGACGGGUGAGUAACACGUGGGUAACCUGCCCUUAAGUGGGGGAUAACAUUUGGAAACAGAUGCUAUACCGCAUAGAUCCAAGAACCGCAUGGUUCUUGGCUGAAAGAUGGCGUAAGCUAUCGCUUUUGGAUGGACCCGCGGCGUAUUAGCUAGUUGGUGAGGUAAUGGCUCACCAAGGCGAUGAUACGUAGCCGAACUGAGAGGUUGAUCGGCCACAUUGGGACUGAGACACGGCCCAAACUCCUACGGGAGGCAGCAGUAGGGAAUCUUCCACAAUGGACGCAAGUCUGAUGGAGCAACGCCGCGUGGAGUGAAGAGGGCUUUCGGGUCGUAAAACUCUGUUGUUGGAGAAGAAUGGUCGGCAGAGUAACUGUUGUCGGCGUGACGGUAUCCAACCAGAAAGCCACGGCUAACUACGUGCCAGCAGCCGCGGUAAUACGUAGGUGGCAAGCGUUAUCCGGAUUUAUUGGGCGUAAAGCGAGCGCAGGCGGUUUUUUAAGUCUGAUGUGAAAGCCCUCGGCUUAACCGAGGAAGCGCAUCGGAAACUGGGAAACUUGAGUGCAGAAGAGGACAGUGGAACUCCAUGUGUAGCGGUGAAAUGCGUAGAUAUAUGGAAGAACACCAGUGGCGAAGGCGGCUGUCUGGUCUGUAACUGACGCUGAGGCUCGAAAGCAUGGGUAGCGAACAGGAUUAGAUACCCUGGUAGUCCAUGCCGUAAACGAUGAAUGCUAGGUGUUGGAGGGUUUCCGCCCUUCAGUGCCGCAGCUAACGCAUUAAGCAUUCCGCCUGGGGAGUACGACCGCAAGGUUGAAACUCAAAGGAAUUGACGGGGGCCCGCACAAGCGGUGGAGCAUGUGGUUUAAUUCGAAGCAACGCGAAGAACCUUACCAGGUCUUGACAUCUUUUGAUCACCUGAGAGAUCAGGUUUCCCCUUCGGGGGCAAAAUGACAGGUGGUGCAUGGUUGUCGUCAGCUCGUGUCGUGAGAUGUUGGGUUAAGUCCCGCAACGAGCGCAACCCUUAUGACUAGUUGCCAGCAUUUAGUUGGGCACUCUAGUAAGACUGCCGGUGACAAACCGGAGGAAGGUGGGGAUGACGUCAAAUCAUCAUGCCCCUUAUGACCUGGGCUACACACGUGCUACAAUGGAUGGUACAACGAGUUGCGAGACCGCGAGGUCAAGCUAAUCUCUUAAAGCCAUUCUCAGUUCGGACUGUAGGCUGCAACUCGCCUACACGAAGUCGGAAUCGCUAGUAAUCGCGGAUCAGCACGCCGCGGUGAAUACGUUCCCGGGCCUUGUACACACCGCCCGUCACACCAUGAGAGUUUGUAACACCCGAAGCCGGUGGCGUAACCCUUUUAGGGAGCGAGCCGUCUAAGGUGGGACAAAUGAUUAGGGUGAAGUCGUAACAAGGUAGCCGUAGGAGAACC